AUACGGAGGAUGCGAGCGUUAUCCGGAUUUAUUGGGUUUAAAGGGUGCGUAGGCGGCCUUUUAAGUCAGCGGUGAAAGUCUGUGGCUCAACCAUAGAAUUGCCGUUGAAACUGGGGGGCUUGAGUAUGUUUGAGGCAGGCGGAAUGCGUGGUGUAGCGGUGAAAUGCAUAGAUAUCACGCAGAACCCCGAUUGCGAAGGCGGCCGGCCAAGCCAUGACUGACGCUGAUGCACGAAAGCGUGGGGAUCAAACAGGAUUAGAUACCCUGGUAGUCCACGCAGUAAACGAUGAUCACUAGCUGUUUGCGAUACAGUGUAAGCGGCACAGCGAAAGCGUUAAGUGAUCCACCUGGGGAGUACGCCGGCAACGGUGAAACUCAAAUGAAUUGACGGGG
Molecule: ribosomal RNA, 393 nt
Filed under: uncultured bacterium
Lineage: Bacteria
Description: partial 16S ribosomal RNA
Rfam family: Bacterial small subunit ribosomal RNA
Source: RNAcentral